CCUACGGGCGGCAGCAGUGGGGAAUAUUGCACAAUGGGCGCAAGCCUGAUGCAGCCAUGCCGCGUGUGUGAAGAAGGCCUUCAGGUUGUAAAGCACUUUCAGCGGGGAGGAAGGCGGUGAGGUUAAUAACCUCAUCGAUUGACGUUACCCGCAGAAGAAGCACCGGCUAACUCCGUGCCAGCAGCCGCGGUAAUACGGAGGGUGCAAGCGUUAAUCGGAAUUACUGGGCGUAAAGCGCACGCAGGCGGUCUGUCAAGUCGGAUGUGAAAUCCCCGGGCUCAACCUGGGAACUGCAUUCGAAACUGGCAGGCUAGAGUCUUGUAGAGGGGGGUAGAAUUCCAGGUGUAGCGGUGAAAUGCGUAGAGAUCUGGAGGAAUACCGGUGGCGAAGGCGGCCCCCUGGACAAAGACUGACGCUCAGGUGCGAAAGCGUGGGGAGCAAACAGGAUUAGAUACCCUAGUAGUC
This 465-nucleotide ribosomal RNA is filed under the name uncultured Klebsiella sp. RNAcentral's name for it is "bacterial SSU rRNA". It matches the Rfam family "Bacterial small subunit ribosomal RNA", at positions 338 to 795 of the family's 1533-position model. The record is from RNAcentral. Lineage: Bacteria; Pseudomonadati; Pseudomonadota; Gammaproteobacteria; Enterobacterales; Enterobacteriaceae.